This 2682-nucleotide small RNA is filed under the name Pongo abelii (Sumatran orangutan). RNAcentral describes it as "retained intron". The record is from RNAcentral. Lineage: Eukaryota; Metazoa; Chordata; Mammalia; Primates; Hominidae.
CAGCCCCGGCGUCCGCCCCGCUGCCCCCUCCCCCGGGGGCCAUGGGGGCGCCCCCGGGCUACCGGCCCUCAGCUUGGGUGCAUCUCCUCCACCAGCUGCCCCGCGCCGACUUCCAGCUCCGCCCGGUGCCCAGCGUUUUCGCGCCCCAAGAGCAGGAAUACCAGCAGGAUGAGAGCAGGUGAAUAUGUCCCAGAUAAGGUGGGACCCAGGAGACAGCGGACCUGAUAACGGUGGAGGGGAAAACGCUGGCUUCUGCGGUGCUGGGAUGGGAUUGAGAGUCUGAAAUGGGGAAGGGGGCUCCAAGGGCUGAGGGCCAGGGCUGGAAAAUGAAGGGGCUCUGGGAGAGGAAGCUUGUUGCCCGUCCCAAGAAAGAAGGGGCGGUCAGGGCGCUGCAGGGGUGAGGGCCGAGAUGAGGCUGGGUUCGGGGAGCCUCGGGAUGACAGACCCGGGUCCCGAGGGUGGGGCCGGUGUGGGAACCUCACAGAAGCCGGGGUCCCUGGGGAAGGGGCCCGGCUCGGGGCAGCUCCAAUGGGCGAAAGAGCUGUCCCCUGACCCAGUUUAACUCAAGUCCUUGACUUUGAGAUUAAUGAGAAAGGCUUUGCUGAGCUGGGGACGGGUGGGGGUGCUGGGAGUCCCGAUGUGGCCCCAGGACGGGUCCUGGCCCUGCCGGUGGGGCCUAGCCCCUGGGCUCCGUCCUGGGUUGCUCCUGCGAAAGCGGGGCUGGGAUUGGAGAGCUCAGGGGGCGUGGAGGGGUCCCAGAAAAGCGCGGAGGGGAUGAGUGCUGUGUUCUGAGCUAUUUGGGUCAUGGCUGGCACAGCCCUGAGCAGCUCUUCCCCGCCUGCUUCUCGCCGCCCCCUCUCCCCACACACGGGGACGGCCGUCCCCUCGCCCACAGCCUCGCGGUUACACAACGGCCACCUCCAACGCCACCGCUCCACCGGCUCCGGCCUCGGCCCAGACUCACGCCCGCUCUGGCCCGGAGACCUCCCGAAGCCGCAUGCGGGGAUCCGUGGCCCCAGUCACCGCCAGAGGCCUUGUUGCUGGUGGCGGCCUUGGCGGGCCUGGGCUUGGGCCUGAGCCUCAUUUUCAUCGCUGUCUACCUCAUCCGUUUCUGCUGCUGCCGGCCCCCCGAGCCCCCCGGGUCCAAGAUCCCCUCGCCCGGGGGAGGCUGCGUCACCUGGAGCUGCAUUGUUGCCCUUCUCGCCGGCUGCACUGGCAUUGGCAUCGGUUUCUAUGGCAACAGUGAGACCAGUGAUGGGGUGUCCCAGCUCAGCUCCGCGCUGCUGCACGCCAACCACACACUCAGCACCAUUGACCACCUGGUGUUAGAGACGGUGGAGAGGCUGGGCGAGGCGGUGAGGACAGAGCUGACCACCCUGGAGGAGGUGCUCGAGCCGCGCACGGAGCUGGUGGCUGCCGCCCGAGGGGCUCGGCGGCAGGCGGAGGCUGUGGCCCAGCAGCUGCAGGGGCUGGCCUUCUGGCAGGGAGUGCCCCUGAGCCCCCUGCAGGUGGCUGAAGAUGUGUCGUUCGUGGAGGAGUACAGGUGGCUGGCCUACGUCCUCCUGCUGCUCCUGGAGCUGCUGGUCUGCCUCUUCACCCUCCUGGGCCUGGCGAAGCAGAGCAAGUGGCUGGUGAUCGUGAUGACAGUCAUGAGUCUCCUGGUUCUCGUCCUGAGCUGGGGCUCCAUGGGCCUGGAGGCAGCCACGGCCGUGGGCCUCAGUGACUUCUGCUCCAAUCCAGACCCUUAUGUUCUGAACCUGACCCAGGAGGAAACAGGGCUCAGCUCAGACAUCCUGAGCUAUUAUUUCCUCUGCAACCAGGCCGUCUCCAACCCCUUCCAACAGAGGCUGACUCUGUCCCAGCGAGCUCUGGCCAACAUCCACUCCCAGCUGCUGGGCCUGGAGCGAGAAGCUGUGCCUCAGUUCCCUUCAGCGCAGAAGCCUCUGCUGUCCUUGGAGGAGACUCUGAAUGUGACAGAAGGAAAUUUCCACCAGUUGGUGGCACUGCUACACUGCCGCGGCCUGCACAAGGACUAUGGCGCAGCCCUGCGGGGCCUGUGCGAAGACGCCCUGGAAGGCCUGCUCUUCCUGCUGCUCUUCUCCCUGCUGUCCGCAGGAGCGCUGGCCACUGCCCUCUGCAGCCUGCCCCGAGCCUGGGCCCUCUUCCCACCCAGUGACGACUACGAUGACACAGACGAUGACGACCCUUUCAACCCUCAGGAAUCCAAGCGCUUUGUGCAGUGGCAGUCGUCUAUCUGAGCCCCUCCUCCCGGCUGGACUGGAGCCUGGCUCCCCUCUUCGUUCCUUCCCUGGCUGCCGGAGGAGACCCCACUAACCCAGCCUGCCUGGGCUCUGACCACUAACACUCUUGGCCACGGACAGCCCGCACAGGACCGCCUCCCUGCCCUUGGCCACUGUGCCCCCGUCUCUGUCCUUGGCCUUGGGAGUAGCUGAGGGGGCAGACUAGGGAGUAGGGCUGGCAGGGGAGGGGGCAGACAGCCUCGCACCCUUCAUCCCUGGCUGCCAGUCCCAUCCUUGGAGGGACUAAGCUGGGGGCGGGGGACAUGAGUCCCCCUGCUGCCCCUGCCACGUCCCAGUGGGCUCUGACCCCCUGAUCUCAACUUGUGGCACUAACUUGGAAAAGGGUUGAUUUAAAAUAAAAGGGAAGACUAUUUUACAAGCA